CCCCAAAAGUGGUCCUUAUAGGGUUAUAUUGAAAGCCACUGGCUUGGCUGCAGGAACUGAAGUCAGCAUAAGCUGAAGCCAGGCUCGAAGUGUCCAUCCCAGCCAUACAGGACUCGUAGGCAGAGGAAUUGAGAAGCAGAGAUGUGGCCGGGUCAAAGCCUUCUGUCAUUAGGAGCGAAGUACAGCGAGCAGCAGACCACUGCAGAGACUCAGACACCAGCAGAGAUGCCCUCCAGCUGCUCCUCACCAACUAGGCAGAGAGACCCAGAUCUGGACACUUCUUUUCUUUCUUCCCUGAUGGAAUAAAUACAGUCAGGCAAUCAUCACUGGCCACUAUCAGACCUAUGGCCUGACCCAAUUACAGCAAUUUUAUGUAUCUAUGCCUGUUUCUGUCAAUGAAUCCAAUGAGGUUGAAGGAGACAGUAAAAAAGAUGGAAAGGUUUGGUUUAGAAGGCCAGUGGGGCUGGAAGGAAGUUUUGAAGCCAGAUGAACCUGAAGUUCUUGGGGGUUUGCCUUCCUGCAACAUGGACUCAAUCUGAAAGUAUGGAUCAAAAUGGUGCCUGGAAUUGAAGUGCUCUAGCUGGAUGACAGAGAAGGUACAAGAAGAUUCUUCAGGGAUGUUUGGAUGAGAAUGAUCCAACGAUGAGAAUAAGCACCUUUAGCUGUCAAGAGCUGUGUUGCUGGUGAAAUGAGAAAAGAGACAGCAAAAGUAAUUUUGAAGAAAAAGUUAAGGCAGAACAAAAGGUAUGCAGCAGAGAGCUGUGUGCUCAGACACCUCUUGGAAAUCAUGGACACAGGGAAAAAGAAACAAGGAGGCAGCAGAGGGCAGAAGAACAAAUUACUGAAGGGAUGAGAACCAGUGAAAGACAUUACGAGGAUGCUGCAUUCAAAAAUGGUCUAAGGAGGAAGUAUUAAUGGGAAAAUAAAUUCUCUCUCAUAUAAGAGCUUAGAACUCAAAUGCUUCCUUCACUCUGUACACAGUGAAGAAGCUGGGAGAUUUGCUGUAGAAAAAGGAUAGUGUGCUGAAGUUCAUGGUGAAGAAAUCCAUACAUCUCAUGGCAUGAACUCUAAACAGAUUUCUUUUUUCUGCCAUAGAAAUAGCUAAAAUUUGAUAAAUGCAAUUUGAGUGUAUGCAUGGGACACCUGUCUCAGCUGUACAUUUAAGGCAUGUUCCUGCAUUGACAGAGCAUAAUCUGCAUCUUCUAAAGAUCCCUAACAUCUCUCUGGGUUGUCUCUUUCACUCGUAAUAUCUGCUUCCUCCCAGUUCUUUGGGGACUGUCAGGAAUGAAUCAGAGCCUCAUAAAACCCACCUUACUCAGACACCGUCAGGAAAAGUGAUGUCAUCCUCUGCCAUUCUCCUGCUCCCUGCUACUGCUCUAGUGUGUUGUACCUGGCCAUUGUGUAGACCACAAAUGGGGUUGUUAUUUCUUUCCAUGCUUCUGCUUAACCUAGAGCUACUGUGCACAGUUGAGAAUCGUGUUUGAAAAUUUCUUUUAUGUUUUCCAUAAAAGCUAUUCCACAAGAGUAAUUUGCACUGUAUUGCUUUUGCAUCUUAUCAGCUGCUUCUGACUUAAUCUUAUGAUACAUAGACAAAUACAACCUUUAUAAUGUAAAUAACUGUACAUAAGAGCCUCAGAAAAUCAACAGCUAAAUAUAUUAACAUCCUGUUUAAAAUUAACCAAAAUAUUUAAGAAAGGUAAUGUACUUUUGGCUGGAACUUACUUUAUGAAGUAGGAUAAAAAUUACUUCUUUUGUUUGUAAGGCUCAAGUGACUUUUUUAAUGCUAGAGUUAAUCACCUGAAACAAUUUUUUCUAAUAAGAAGUCAUUUAUAUUUAUAAAUUUAUAUUGCCAGUUUCAAACAAAUGUGGAUUUGAAUGUGUUUAUGUCUAAUAAGCAGCCAAGUAUCACUAAGCUCUGAUCAAAAUUUAGGGUUUAAAAUUAAUUUUUGAACGGAGGAGAAAGCUGCUAAGCUAGAUGUUGCUGGAAAAGGGCCAUGAUUUCUUGGAUAUAUCAAUAUACUCUUUGGUAAAAAGCACCUGAAAUUAAUAAAUUUAAUUUGUGUCUCUUCAGACAAGGCACAACCUAUCUAAGCAUUUACUUUCAUUGCCUUCCAUGUAAUAAGCUCUCGUUACUUUGCACACCCUCAGAUUUAAAUACAUGUGAGAGAAAACCUUUUGAAAUCUCGGCUCUGGAAGUGAGGCUCUCUCAGAGGGGCUCUGGUGUCUGGUGAGGAGGCAGAGCAGUUUUGGGACAGAUCAAGAGGAAUGCGUAGCUGUGCUUUUGCCUAUGGUCCAGGUGGAGCCCUGUUGGUUUGGGUGUUUCUGACCCAAACUGGGCAGCCUGUGUCUCCAGGCACAGCAUGUUUUGUGCCCAGUUUUGCAGACCCUGCAUACAGGCUUCUAUAGGAAUUGCACGGAUGGGAUCUCUACAGAGGGGUGCCUUUCUCCAGUGACACGAUUUCCCUCUCUAUUACAUUGCUAUAAGCCAAACAAAUGUAAAGAAUUCCCAAGGGUGAUGAUACAGACAAGAUUUCACCCUUGCUGACAACUGCUGGAAAGCUGGGACUCAAUACUUCUUUGCCCAUGAGCUAUGAAAUGGCUAUUUCCAUAAUAUCAUUGCACUAACUGUUCCUCCUCUAAGUUACUACAAUGACAAUGAAUCCCUAUAACCCAGGGAUGGCCAGUAAUGAAGAAUAAAUAGCUUUUUGAUAGAGGGACAGACGGGGUUACUAACGGCAGCUUCAAUGGUUGGAAUUGGGCAUCAUUGAUAAUACUGCCUAAAUUUAAUUACUUCAUUUUGUGACACACAGUAUCCCCCUUGUCUUAGCUUAAUGGUUUUGACUUGCUAUUGUGAGGAGAAUGGUUUUUGCCUGGAAAGGGAAGAAAGGUGAUUUUGAAGUUAUAAAAGAAUGUGAAUUAAUUUUCUGAUAUUUAAUUUAUAGCAGAAUACAAACAUAAUAGAACGUAAAGUAUCUUUCUGUUAUUUGAAGCACUCACAACAUAUUCAUUGUAUUUCCUGAGCUUACUUUCAAAGGAGACUGCCCAACAGUUGCACCAAAUAAUCCAAUUGCUAAGCCAGAAAAUAAGUCUGGUUUUAUUUAUGUUCGAUGAGGACUAUGAUCAUGUGUAGUUUUAAAUCAUGACCUCCUAAGCACACUGUGAAACCAUGAGAACAGAAAGCCCAGGCUAGUGCAUUAAAGAUAUUUGACGCCCAGCAGAGGAAACCAGUGUGUUCCAUUUUAAUCAUGGUAGAAAAUGAUUAUGCCUAACAAGAAAGAGAAAGUAAUGUUAUGAACCUAAUUAAUUAAUGUGAAGAAUUUUUAUCCCAACAGAUGUUUUUCUUAAAUAUUUUUCAUACUUUCAUUCUAAAUUGGACCACUAUAUGUUUUAGAUAUAGAUUAAAUCAAAUUAAAUUAAAUAUAUUUUUGCUUUAUUUUAUAUUCUAUUUUACUAGACUGGUUUCAUUUUCAGAAAGACAUAUGCCAAAUUUAUCUUAUGUUAGUUUUAACACCAGGAUAUCAUCUGAAGAUUAAGGGAAAGAUAUAUUAUGAAUAGGUGGCAUCUAUUUUUGUUUUCAAUUCUCCCUACUUACUGUUGUUGUUAUCAUUAUCAAAGCAUAUGUAAGGCUGCAGAAUGUGACAUUUUAAAGAUAAGUUUGCUAGUGGCUUUUUCAAUUUCUGUUUAACUGAAAUGUUUCCUACUUCAUUCAACUACUCUUACAAUUUACAUUAGUCAACACUCCAUCAAUAAAACCAUCAAAAUGAUCUACUACAUUGUAGACAAAAGUUAUUGUGUCAAGUUGACACUAAUCAGUUAAUUCCAGUAAACCUUCAGAUAAACAAAAGCUUGUUGUCUAUUACUGAUGUGUGUGAUUAGCCCCCUGUAUGUCCUAUAGCUAUGCACAUCUAUAGAGAUGUAUCUGGCAGACACUUGGCCUGAGGGCUCUAUAUGUAAACCAGGACAGGAUCUAUAGUUAAUGAUGUUGACCCUGACUCCCUCAACAGAGAUUGGAUUCAGUCCUCAUAACAUCCCGACAGCUGAUAUGUAUA
Long non-coding RNA from Haemorhous mexicanus (house finch), 4049 nucleotides. RefSeq lists it as uncharacterized. The transcript has 5 exons. Lineage: Eukaryota; Metazoa; Chordata; Aves; Passeriformes; Fringillidae. The record is from RefSeq and is a predicted model, not a curated record.